AUAUUCCUACGGGGGGCAGCAGUGGGGAAUAUUGCGCAAUGGGGGAAACCCUGAUGCAGCGACGCCGCGUGAGUGAAGAAGUAUUUCGGUAUGUAAAGCUCUAUCAGCAGGGAAGAUAAUGACGGUACCUGACUAAGAAGCCCCGGCUAACUACGUGCCAGCAGCCGCGGUAAUACGUAGGGGGCAAGCGUUAUCCGGAUUUACUGGGUGUAAAGGGUGCGUAGGUGGCAGGACAAGUCAGAUGCGAAAGCCCGGGGCUCAACCCCGGUACUGCAUUUGAAACUGUCCAGCUGGAGUGCAGGAGG
RNAcentral lists this ribosomal RNA (305 nucleotides) under uncultured bacterium. Its description in RNAcentral is "bacterial SSU rRNA". It matches the Rfam family "Bacterial small subunit ribosomal RNA", at positions 333 to 655 of the family's 1533-position model. The record is from RNAcentral.